This 402-nucleotide ribosomal RNA is filed under the name uncultured bacterium. RNAcentral describes it as "bacterial SSU rRNA". It matches the Rfam family "Bacterial small subunit ribosomal RNA", at positions 356 to 774 of the family's 1533-position model. The record is from RNAcentral.
GAGGGAUAUUGGUCAAUGGGCGCAAGCCUGAACCAGCGACGCCGCGUGGGUGAAGAAGGUCUUCGGAUCGUAAAGCCCUUUUCCCACUGAAGAGGAAGGACGGUAGGUGGGGAAGAAGUCUCGGCUAACUACGUGCCAGCAGCCGCGGUAAAACGUAGGAGACAAGCGUUAUCCGGAGUUACUGGGCGUAAAGGGCGUGCAGGUGGCGUCUUAAGUCUGUUGUGAAAGCGCCUGGCUUAACCGGGCGAGGCCAAUGGAGACUGAGAGGCUGGAGGACGGCGGAGGGGUGUGGAAUUCCGGGUGUAGUGGUGAAAUGCGUAGAGAUCCGGAGGAACACCAGAGGCGAAGGCGGCACUCUAAGCCGUACCUGACACUGAGACACGACAGCACGGGGAGCAAACG